AAAAAAGGAUAGACAUGGUCAACUCACAGUCAGAGACAAAUAGAGAGAAGUGAAACAGGGUCAUUCGCUGUUUGGAAAGAGGACAGUCACAGUAGAGAGAAGAAAUAGCCACAACGAAUCAUACAAAGAGGACAGACACAGUCAGUGUUCAGUAAAAAGAACAGAAUUUGGGUCAGACUGAGGUUGGAGAAAGAGAAGGGGGAUGGGGUGUGCUCAACCAAGAGAUCGCAUAGGACAAAAUACAGACAAUUGCAAAUGAAAACCUGUCCAAGAUGGUGGAAAACUAACCUAUCAAUGACAUCAACAAUCUGGAAAUCCAAGACGAACUCAGCAAUCUGUCUAUCUCAAGAUGGACUCACCCACAAUCUGGAUAUCUAAAAUGGCAGUGUCCACAUAGUUCUCCACCUGCACGGACAUCUCAUAUUUCCCGGAGUGCUUCCUCUCGGCCUUGCGGAUGAAGAUAAUGCUGUCGCAUUCGCUGUUGCGAAUGCUCACCUGUGUAGGAUCCACAGCCUUCCCCCCCUUCAGCCAGCUCACCUUUGGUCUUGGUUUCCCCUGAAAACCAACCAUAGGUGAGUUAUGUGUCUUCAGAAAUGUUACCUCCAUAGUCUUCAGAAGAGUCCCCGAGUUCUGCAGUUCUUUGUCACUUAUAAAAGAAACAAUCCCAUGACACUUAGUGUUUUCUUACAGAUCAAGGAUCUAUUUUGAGUGGAGUCAUACCCUUUCUGUCAAAGCAUUACAGUGCUUAGCAUAUAGCUUUAGCCUUACCAGGAAGGGAAUGACGAGAUUAAUGGCCUCUCCGACCCUGCGAAUGUAUGUCUGCUUCAGAUGUCUCGGCAGGCGAAUCUUGGGACGUUCUGUGCAGGGGGCAUAAAUGGUCACAGUCUGACAUA
Molecule: long non-coding RNA, 893 nt
Organism: Anguilla anguilla (European eel)
Lineage: Eukaryota; Metazoa; Chordata; Actinopteri; Anguilliformes; Anguillidae
Exons: 2
Source: RefSeq, a predicted model, not a curated record